GAGUUUGAUCGUGGCUCAGAUUGAACGCUGGCGGCAUGCCUUACACAUGCAAGUCGAACGGCAGCAUGAUCUAGCUUGCUAGAUUGAUGGCGAGUGGCGAACGGGUGAGUAAUACAUCGGAACGUGCCCUGUAGUGGGGGAUAACUAGUCGAAAGGUUAGCUAAUACCGCAUACGACCUGAGGGUGAAAGUGGGGGACCGCAAGGCCCCAUGCUAUAGGAGCGGCCGAUGUCUGAUUAGCUAGUUGGUGGGGUAAAGGCCCACCAAGGCGACGAUCAGUAGCUGGUCUGAGAGGACGAUCAGCCACACUGGGACUGAGACACGGCCCAGACUCCUACGGGAGGCAGCAGUGGGGAAUUUUGGACAAUGGGCGAAAGCCUGAUCCAGCAAUGCCGCGUGUGUG
This 402-nucleotide ribosomal RNA is filed under the name uncultured microorganism. Its description in RNAcentral is "bacterial SSU rRNA". It matches the Rfam family "Bacterial small subunit ribosomal RNA", at positions 9 to 407 of the family's 1533-position model. The record is from RNAcentral.